This 208-nucleotide long non-coding RNA is filed under the name Elaeis guineensis (African oil palm). RNAcentral's name for it is "long non-coding RNA (EGUI_LNC048554)". Lineage: Eukaryota; Viridiplantae; Streptophyta; Magnoliopsida; Arecales; Arecaceae. The record is from RNAcentral.
AUCUAAUAAAUUUGACGUGAAGCAUAAUGGGACAAACAUACCGAGACUCCAUUUGUCACAAAUAAUAUAUGCUAAAUACUUUUCUAUUUGUCACAUGGAAAAAUGGGACAUCAUUGAUUUGAUUUGCAACUAAACAUUCAUGAAGGCAGUUGAGUAAAAGGAGAUGAGAGAGUAAGCCUGGUUGAUGGACCACCACUUAAUCCACUUG